This 106-nucleotide ribosomal RNA is filed under the name Candidatus Kaiserbacteria bacterium RIFCSPHIGHO2_01_FULL_50_13. Lineage: Bacteria; Candidatus Kaiseribacteriota. RNAcentral also lists the same sequence under 3 other names. The record is from RNAcentral.
UCUGGUGGUUUAUCGCCGGGGUCACACCCGUUCUCAUUCCGAACACGGAAGUUAAGCCCGGUUGAGGCGAUGGUAGUGGAAACGCGAGAGUAGCUAGCCGCCAGAA